Molecule: ribosomal RNA, 407 nt
Filed under: uncultured bacterium
Lineage: Bacteria
Description: partial 16S ribosomal RNA
Rfam family: Bacterial small subunit ribosomal RNA
Source: RNAcentral
AUUGAACGCUGGCGGCAGGCCUAACACAUGCAAGUCGAGCGGACCGGCGAACGGGUGAGUAAUGCCUAGUAAUCUGCCUGGUAGUGGGGGAUAACGUCCGGAAACGGGCGCUAUUACCGCAGACUAUCAGAUGAGUCUAGGUCGGAUUAGAUAGUUGGUGGGGUAAAGGCUUACCUAGGUGACGAUCCGUAACUGAUCUGAGAGGAUGAUCAGUAACAUGGGGACUGAGACACGGUCCAGACUCCUACGGGAGGCAGCAGUGGGGAAUAUUAGACAAUGGACGAAAGCCUGAUCCAGCCAUGCCGCGUGUGUGAAGAAGGUCUGCGGAUUGUAAAGCUCUUUAGGUUGGGAAGCGUUACCAAACGAGAAAGCAACGGCUAACUUCGUGCCAGCAGCCGCGGUAAUAC